CGGAAUCGGAUUGGGCUCUAUCCGAUUGGUUAAUAUCCGAUAGGGUAGGGGCGUACUAGUAAUUUUAACAUACCAAUAACAGUGUCGAGGAGUCGAGAGAAGAGAAGAGAAGACAUUUCCCUUUUAUUUUUUUCUUCUCCUCACUAUGUUCUCAGUCUCGCUUCCCCCUCUCGAUUAAUCACUCAGUUCUCACUUCUCCAAUAAUUAAUCUCUCAAUCAGAUACGGAAAACGUGGACUGAAGUGAAGCUGAUGCAAUGAUACAACAUGCCAGGCGGCCAAGCAAGAUCACACUAAGUUUCACUACUCACUAGCGUGUUGACAUUGUUAGCCUCUGUGACCGUUAGACAUUGUUUUCUUCUUUUUUUAGCUUUAUUGUAGCCUGUUGUGUACUUUCUUUUGCAUUCUCUGGACUGGGAGUAAACUCUUUAACUCACAUUGUGCUUGUGUGGGUUUGUACUUUUCACAGAACAUUUUGAACUUAAAAAAGACAAAGACUUUGUUUUUUUCAA
Papaver somniferum (opium poppy) is the source of this 510-nucleotide long non-coding RNA. RefSeq lists it as uncharacterized. The transcript has 2 exons. NCBI's taxonomy places the organism in Eukaryota, Viridiplantae, Streptophyta, Magnoliopsida, Ranunculales, Papaveraceae. The record is from RefSeq and is a predicted model, not a curated record.